GUAGGGAAUAUUGGACAAUGGGCGAAAGCCUGAUCCAGCCAUGCCGCGUGAUAGAUGAAGGCCCUCUGGGUUGUAAAUAUCUUUUAUCUGGGAAGAAACUCCUCUAUUCUUAGAGGCCUGACGGUACCAGAGGAAUAAGCACCGGCUAACUCCGUGCCAGCAGCCGCGGUAAUACGGAGGGUGCAAGCGUUAUCCGGAUUCACUGGGUUUAAAGGGUGCGUAGGCGGGUUGAUAAGUCAGUGGUGAAAGCUCCGGGCUUAACUUGGAAACUGCCAUUGCUACUGUCAGUCUUGAAUGUCGUAGAGGUAAGCGGAAUGUUGCAUGUAGCGGUGAAAUGCUUAGAUAUGUUACAGAACACCAAUUGCGAAGGCAGCUUACUAUGCGAUAAUUGACGCUGAGGCACGAAAGCGUGGGGAGCAAACAGGAUUAGAUACCCCGGUAGUCC
Molecule: ribosomal RNA, 445 nt
Filed under: uncultured bacterium
Lineage: Bacteria
Description: partial 16S ribosomal RNA
Rfam family: Bacterial small subunit ribosomal RNA
Source: RNAcentral